AAAUUGAGUUUUUAAUCCAAGUUCGAUGACCGCGUGUAUUUAACUUAUCGAAAAAGAAAACAUGACUUCAAAUUUAACUUUUUAAGCAGCAAAACAAGCUUUAAAGAUUCAAUUAAUUAAAGCUUUGAGAAAAAGCACUAAACUAACAAAUCAAUUAAGCGAGAUCGCGCUCCUCCUCUUGUGCAAUGUUACAAAAUCGAGAUGGAGCUUCAACUGCCGUCACCGUGGGAGAUGGUUCGGUACAAACACGAGAUACGAACAUCCAUGAACGAAGCUUGAAUUAAUUAAGUUCGCGGGAAAGAGAAAUUACGAAAGGAAUCGAGAGACAUCCAAACACCUCGGCGCAGGAGCUCCGUAUUCCGCAGAAUUCAUCCCUCGUCCCUUUCCGAAAGGUUUUCUUCCAGCAGAGAGAUUGGGGAAAGAAAAGGGCGCGCGGCGGUCGACGGUGGCAGGCGUCGCAGGUAAGAGCUAUGUCCCGCCCGCCCGCGUUCCUUCCCUUCCGGGUGCGGCGCUCUACCGCCACCGUCGCUCGUUCUCCAGCCCCUUCAAGAUCCCACGGCAGAUUCCCCAUCGCCUCCUCCCUCUCCGAUGUGGUAUUCCAGCCACCAUCACCCACUUCCACUUCCAAAUCCGAAAGCAGAACCCGCCUUCCUCCCCCUAAACCCAACCGCGCCAUUCCCCUCUUCAAAUCGAGCUCCGAUAGCGUCGUCCUCCGGGAGGCCCCCUACACCGCCGCCCGCCCGGCCCUCACGUAGUGCUCCGUCGCAGGCGGAUGAUGAUCCGGCCGUUCGGUCGAGGAGGCACGCGCUGGCCGUGGAGAUUCUGGGCAAGGCCAGGAAGGGCGACACGGAGGGUCUACGCAAACUCCAGAAGAAAUUGGUAAAGGCCGGAAGCAAUCUGGUGAGCGCCGUGGCCGGGGUUCCCAGCCUCGAGGGGGUUAAUCUGCUGAGCAAGGCUAUCGAAUGGGAAAAACCAGAAGUGUGCAAGUAUUUGAUCAAGGAUAUCAAAAUCGACAUAAAUGCUCCCAAUGAGCAUGGAUAUACACCCUGAUGUCAGCAAUUCUUGACACCAAAUCUGAAAAGCUUAUAAACCUGCUGCUUCAUCACGGAGCAGAUAUAAACAAAGUUUACAAAGCUGGAAUGACUGCACUCCAUAUUGUGAUAAAUGCUGGUGACAUUCCAAUGACAAAACUGCUGUUGAGAAAUAAAGCAGACGUUAAUGCUGUUUGUGAUGCAGGAACGGCAUUACACAUUGCCACUGUUGAUAAAAAUGUGCCCCUCAUUAUCCUUCUGCUGGAUGCAAACGCUGAUGCAGCCGUUCGAAACAAAUCGGGGUUCAUCCCACUCCAUGUUGCAGUGCUACGAGCUUGUCUCUAUCCUAUGUCGUACUUAAUCCAAAACUGGUAGCAAUUCCUCACCGUGUGUGUGUGUCUUUAUAUACACACACACACACCCAACCGGAUACACCGCGAACGUAUUUUCUCAGGGCAUAGAACGGUGGCGAACUACGGCAAUCCUAGGCGGCUGGGGAAGGAACGGUUAGCGGCGCGCGAGAGCAGACGCGGUGCGGCGGCGGGCUACGCGGCGGGCCGGCUCGCGCCUAGGCCGCGCCGGCGGUUGCGGCUGGGGUGGCUGCCUUGACGACGACGACGACAGGGGCCUGAGCGAGGAGAAGCUCGACAAGCUCGAGCGGGAUGCCUACCGCAAGCUCGGCGAGCGCAAGGCCUCCUCCUCCAAUGCCUCCACCUCUUCCGCGACCCCGCCGCUGCGGCCGGCGGCGACUGGCGGGCGGCCUCGGUGAGCGGUAGCUGUCGUGGUCAGCGGGUCAUAGGUGGUGAGGCGAGAGAGGCGAGACGAUCCAAGCUUGAGGGCGUGAGCGGCGGGGAGAAGGCUGGAGUUGGAAGAAGAACAACGGUGGAGGCUGAGGUCGAUGCAGUCGCCGGCCCACAGACUCGCGUCGUGGUAAUCGGCGACCUCGGCGCCGAGUCCGCCGCUCAGCCCAGCCCUAGCUCGUCGGCCGGCUCCCCAUUGUUGUGUUAUGCCCCUCGUCAGCAGCUCGCCAGCUCGUGUGGAAUUAGCCGCCGCAGCAUGGUGAUCGCUGGCAAACCAGGUGCAGCCGUGAGGAAAACAAGAGAUACAUCAGCACUUCGUGAGUCUUCUUGCUGGAUUCGUCAGGGCUGUUGGCUCUGUACUAUGGCAUAUUUGUCAAAAUUCUUGCUGUGAUUUUUGUUAUUUGUUCUGAAAAUUUUAUGGUUUCUUGGGAAUUUUGGUCUGCCGUUGCUGCAGUGGAAUUUUGGUCUGCCGUUUCUUGGGAAUUUUAUGGUUUCUUGGGAAUCUUUGUCAAAUUCCAGUCGUUUGAUGGUUUUACAGCUGAGAUGAACUACAGGCACUUCAUUUUCUCCUUCUGGAUUCUUUAUUUCAGUAAUUCUCAUUCUAGAUUUGGCAUUGUUGAUCAAGAAGACUCAGAUCAACCUGAUGAAGGGCAGGGUAACUCCUUGUAGAAACCAUGGAACUUUGCUGGGUAAUUAGAAUUUGCAAUUUCGUCUCAAUGCAAACCUUGUCUCUUCCAGGAACUACAAAGAUUUGCUACAGAUGGUUUAGCACGUCACGUAUUUGUGCGGACAAAGAAGGCUAGGGGAGGAGGUUAGAGUAAAAAGGUGCACUUGGUUUCCUUUAGUGUGCUAUAAGCUGUUUGCAGAAGGUAUUCUUGAUGCUACUUUAAUGUGUGAUGUAGGCUAAUCUAAGUUUUCCUUCUUCCAGGCUCUAUUUUGCUUUUCAGAUCAUGUUAUCCGCUUGUCCUAUCUAAUGCCCACUUCAACUCCUAAUUUAUUUGUGUCGUCUUGCCCUUUUUUCCGAUUGUCAGCAUGUGAUUCCUUAGUUUUCUUUUGAGUUCCUCCCUAUUUUGUCCUCUAAGAGAUUUCAUUUUGUGCACCAUAAGUCUUUGAUUGCAUACAUAUAUAAUUUGGGUAUUGAUUUAUUGCUAAUUGAAUAAUUGUUUUCAUAUGGUUGGACAUAACCAGGUUUAGCUUAAAUAAGGUGCUUGCUGGCUUACAACUAUGAUUUAUUUUGUGUUCCGAAAUUACAAUCUGUACUGAUUUAUUUGGAAAAAUUGGACUUUGACCUUUUUCUCUGUGGAUGUGUGUCAAAACUGACAGCUGAGAGCUGAGAUUACUCUGUUGUGAUUUUACGUUGACGACAUUCUAAGGAUAAUAAAACUAGAACUUUUGAUCUGGUGAGAACUUGUUUACUUGUAUUCCACCUUUAUUUACUCUUUUCCUUGUGCCACACAGUGCAGGUUAGGAGGUUGGACAAAAGUACUUUCUGUAUGCAUGGUUCAAGAUUCAAAAUCCACUAGAUUAUCAGAAGUGAGUUUGACUGAAUAUUUUAGCCUUUUAUGAUUGCCGAACAUGAUGAUGUAUAAUCCAAAACCUAAUGUCUUGUUGUUUCAACAGACACUCAAUCACAAAACAACAUGACAUCAAUUUCUUCUUUUACUUAAUUUAAUUUCAGAUAUGGUUUGAUCAUGUAAGAAACUUAGUUAGCUCAAUUUCUUCUUUUACUUAAUUUAAUUUCGGAAUGCAACUUCUAUCAUUUGGAAGAUGGAGUGUACCCUGCUUGCCAAGAUCAUGAUGGUGAUGAGGCAAUGGAGUUCAGAUCUAUUUACUUCUUACUACCUGGCCUAAUGUACGAUGACAAUAAUUCUUACCUCUUGGUAAAAGUCUAUGUUUGUGGAGCUCCAGUGCUUAGAUUAUUCUUCUAUUCCAUUGUUGAAGAAGUUUAGCUUAUUGUCCGAUGCUUAUUCUCUGUAUAUGCAAGUUGCUGAACUAACAGCUCUUAUGGUGGUGGUACCAUGUGGUGGCCAUUUGAAAUAAAAAUAAAGGAGCACCAGAAGAUCAAACUGCCGAUCUAGCUCUGCUUGCUUUCGCAGAUCCUUACAAGAACCGAAGGGCCAGUGGCAUCAUAUUAGAUGGCAGCAAGUGAAUAGUGUAUGGUUAACUGUUAAUUGUUCUCCUUCUGUAUGGAAAAUUUGUAUUUUCUGUUGGCACAUAGAAUUCUCACAUUGACAUGGAAUUUGUAUUUUACGUUGGCACAUAGAAUACUCACGUUGACCUAGAAUUUGAUUUUAUUGGCACUGAGAAUUCAUAUGGGUGUUUUGUUUUCA
This is an RNA transcript of Brachypodium distachyon (stiff brome), 4161 nucleotides long. It is a transcript of the gene named ankyrin-1, with no coding region annotated. NCBI's taxonomy places the organism in Eukaryota, Viridiplantae, Streptophyta, Magnoliopsida, Poales, Poaceae. The record is from RefSeq and is a predicted model, not a curated record. The transcript has 7 exons.